UACGAGGGGGGCAAAUGUUGUUCGGAAUCACUGGGCGUAAAGGGAGCGUAGGCGGUUUUUUAAGUUAGGUGUUUAAUCCCGGGGCCCAACCCCGGACAGGCACCUAAAACUGGAAAACUUGAAUAGGGGAGAGGUCGGUGGAAUUGGAGGUGUAGCGGUGGAAUGCGUAGAGAUCUCCAAGAACACCAGUUGCGAAGGCGGCCGACUGGACCCAUAUUGACGCUGAGGCUCGAAAGCAUGGGGAGCAAACAGG
Molecule: ribosomal RNA, 253 nt
Filed under: uncultured bacterium
Lineage: Bacteria
Description: partial 16S ribosomal RNA
Rfam family: Bacterial small subunit ribosomal RNA
Source: RNAcentral